RNAcentral lists this unclassified non-coding RNA (687 nucleotides) under Paulownia fortunei. RNAcentral's name for it is "partial contains small subunit ribosomal RNA, internal transcribed spacer 1, 5.8S ribosomal RNA, internal transcribed spacer 2, and large subunit ribosomal RNA". The record is from RNAcentral. Lineage: Eukaryota; Viridiplantae; Streptophyta; Magnoliopsida; Lamiales; Paulowniaceae.
UCAUUUAGAGGAAGGAGAAGUCGUAACAAGAUUUUCGUAGGUGAACCUACAAAAGGACCAUUGUCGAAACCUGCAAAGUAGACCACGAACACGUGUUUAACCACAUUAGGGCUGAUACGAGGGGAGGAACCCUCCCGACGUGGACCCAUCACCUGCCGGCGCGUGCGAAUUUAUGCCGGGCGGGCUAAUGAACCCCGACGUGGCAUGCGCUAAGGAAAACUCAAUGAAGCGUCCGCCCCCUAUCKCACCCAUCUGUGGUGCGCAAGAGGGGGAGCGGACAUCUCUCAAAAUGUUAAAAURACUCUUGACAAUAGAUAUCUCGGUWCUCGUAUUGAUGAAGAACGUAGAUAAAUAUGAUACUUGGUGUGAAUUACAGAAUCUCGUGAACCAUCGAGUCUUUGAACRCAAGUUGCGCCCGAAGCUAUUAGGCCGAGGGCAUGUCUGCCUAARCAUCAUACAUCGCGUUGCCCCSUUCCUAUGCUCCCAUGCAUGCGGCCAACCCAAAUGUAAUCUCGCAGCGAUGCACAUCAUGAACAGUGGUAUUUGAACACUCAACUCGUGUGCUGUCAUGCGAGACAGCGUCAUCCACUCGGGCAUCAUCACCAACCUAAACGACGCAUUGCGAUUGUGCUUGUAACCACGAUCUUAGGUCAAGCGGGAUUACCCGCUGAGUUUAAGCAUAUCAAU